UACGAAGGGAGCUAGCGUUGUUCGGAAUCACUGGGCGUAAAGCGCACGUAGGCGGAUUUGUCAGUCAGGGGUGAAAUCCCGGGGCUCAACCUCGGAACUGCCUUUGAUACAGCAAGUCUUGAGUUCGAGAGAGGUGGGUGGAAUUCCUAGUGUAGAGGUGAAAUUCGUAGAUAUUAGGAAGAACACCGGUGGCGAAGGCGACUACCUGGCCUGUUCUUGACGCUGAGGCGCGAAAGCUGGGGGAGCAAACGGG
This 253-nucleotide ribosomal RNA is filed under the name uncultured bacterium. Its description in RNAcentral is "partial 16S ribosomal RNA". It matches the Rfam family "Bacterial small subunit ribosomal RNA", at positions 524 to 776 of the family's 1533-position model. The record is from RNAcentral.